AACGAACGCUGGCGGCAUGCCUAACACAUGCAAGUCGAACGAGACCUUCGGGUCUAGUGGCGCACGGGUGCGUAACGCGUGGGAACCUGCCCUUAGGUUCGGAAUAACUCCCCGAAAGGGGUGCUAAUACCGGAUAAUGUCUUCGGACCAAAGAUUUAUCGCCUUUGGAUGGGCCCGCGUUGGAUUAGCUAGUUGGUAGUGUAAAAGCCUACCAAGGCGACGAUCCAUAGCUGGUCUGAGAGGAUGAUCAGCCACACUGGGACUGAGACACGGCCCAGACUCCUACGGGAGGCAGCAGUGGGGAAUAUUGGACAAGGGGCGAAAGCCUGAUCCAGCAAUGCCGCGUGAGUGAGGAAGGCCUUAGGGUUGUAAAGCUCUUUUACCCGGGAUGAUAAUGACAGUACCGGGAGAAUAAGCUCCGGCUAACUCCGUG
This 433-nucleotide ribosomal RNA is filed under the name uncultured bacterium. RNAcentral describes it as "partial 16S ribosomal RNA". It matches the Rfam family "Bacterial small subunit ribosomal RNA", at positions 29 to 507 of the family's 1533-position model. The record is from RNAcentral.